GGUCCCAUCGUCUAGUGGCCUAGGACACCACCCUCUCAAGGUGGAGACACGGGUUCGAACCCCGUUGGGACCACCG
Molecule: transfer RNA, 76 nt
Filed under: Actinomycetes bacterium
Lineage: Bacteria; Bacillati; Actinomycetota; Actinomycetes
Description: Actinobacteria bacterium tRNA-Glu
Rfam family: tRNA
About the family: Transfer RNA (tRNA) molecules are approximately 80 nucleotides in length. Their secondary structure includes four short double-helical elements and three loops (D, anti-codon, and T loops). Further hydrogen bonds mediate the characteristic L-shaped molecular structure. tRNAs have two regions of fundamental functional importance: the anti-codon, which is responsible for specific mRNA codon recognition, and the 3' end, to which the tRNAs corresponding amino acid is attached (by aminoacyl-tRNA synthetases). tRNAs cope with the degeneracy of the genetic code in two manners: having more than one tRNA (with a specific anti-codon) for a particular amino acid; and 'wobble' base-pairing, i.e. permitting non-standard base-pairing at the 3rd anti-codon position.
Source: RNAcentral